GCCCAGCUAGCUCAGAUGGCAGAGCAUGAGACUCUUAAUCUCAGGGUCAUGGGUUCAAGCCCCAUGUUGGGUG
RNAcentral lists this transfer RNA (73 nucleotides) under Oreochromis niloticus (Nile tilapia). Its description in RNAcentral is "tRNA-Lys (CTT) (tRNA-Lys-CTT-14-1)". It matches the Rfam family "tRNA". From Rfam's summary of the family: Transfer RNA (tRNA) molecules are approximately 80 nucleotides in length. Their secondary structure includes four short double-helical elements and three loops (D, anti-codon, and T loops). Further hydrogen bonds mediate the characteristic L-shaped molecular structure. tRNAs have two regions of fundamental functional importance: the anti-codon, which is responsible for specific mRNA codon recognition, and the 3' end, to which the tRNAs corresponding amino acid is attached (by aminoacyl-tRNA synthetases). tRNAs cope with the degeneracy of the genetic code in two manners: having more than one tRNA (with a specific anti-codon) for a particular amino acid; and 'wobble' base-pairing, i.e. permitting non-standard base-pairing at the 3rd anti-codon position. The record is from Rfam by way of RNAcentral. RNAcentral also lists the same sequence under 1 other name. Lineage: Eukaryota; Metazoa; Chordata; Actinopteri; Cichliformes; Cichlidae.